Molecule: ribosomal RNA, 336 nt
Filed under: uncultured soil bacterium
Lineage: Bacteria
Description: bacterial SSU rRNA
Rfam family: Bacterial small subunit ribosomal RNA
Source: RNAcentral
AGAACGAACGCUGGCGGCAUGCCUAAUACAUGCAAGUCGAACGAACUCUUCGGAGUUAGUGGCGCACGGGUGCGUAACGCGUGGGAAUCUGCCCUUGGGUUCGGAAUAACAGUUGGAAACGACUGCUAAUACCGGAUGAUGACGAAAGUCCAAAGAUUUAUCGCCCAGGGAUGAGCCCGCGUAGGAUUAGCUAGUUGGUGAGGUAAAGGCUCACCAAGGCGACGAUCCUUAGCUGGUCUGAGAGGAUGAUCAGCCACACUGGGACUGAGACACGGCCCAGACUCCUACGGGAGCAGCAGUAGGGAAUAUGGACAAUGGGACGAAAGCCUGAUCCAG